CAGCAGCCGCGAUAACACGAAGGGUGCAAGCGUUAAUCGGAAUUACUGGGCGUAAAGCGUGCGUAGGCGGUGAGUUAAGUCUGCUGUGAAAUCCCCGGGCUCAACCUGGGAAUGGCAGUGGAUACUGGCUCGCUAGAGUGUGUCAGAGGAUGGUGGAAUUCCCGGUGUAGCGGUGAAAUGCGUAGAGAUCGGGAGGAACAUCUGUGGCGAAGGCGACUAUCUGGGCCAACACUGACACUGAGGCACGAAAGCGCGGGGAGCAAACAGGAUUAGAUACCCCAGUAGUCCCUGUCUCUUAUCC
RNAcentral lists this ribosomal RNA (301 nucleotides) under uncultured bacterium. Its description in RNAcentral is "partial 16S ribosomal RNA". It matches the Rfam family "Bacterial small subunit ribosomal RNA", at positions 509 to 809 of the family's 1533-position model. The record is from RNAcentral.